CCGGACCCUUCGGGGAAUGGAAAGUGGUGGAGCCGGUGGCCCGAGCUGGUAGUAGGUGAGUGAUGGGGUGACGCAGGAAGGUAGUCCAUCCCGGGCGGUGGUUGUCCCGGGGUAAGGGUGUAGGACGUCAGGUAGGUAAAUCCGCCUGGCAAUAGUCUGAGACCUGAUGCCGAGCCGAUUGUGGUGAAGUGGAUGAUCCUAUGCUGUCGAGAAAAGCCUCUAGCGAGUUUCAUGGCGGCCCGUACCCUAAACCGACUCAGGUGGUCAGGUAGAGAAUACCGAGGCGUUCGGGUGAACUAUGGUUAAGGAACUCGGCAAAAUGCCCCCGUAACUUCGGGAGAAGGGGGGCCAUGUCUGGUGAUCCGAUUUACUCGGUGAGCUGGGUGUGGCCGCAGAGACCAGCGAGAAGCGACUGUUUACUAAAAACACAGGUCCGUGCGAAGCCGUAAGGCGAUGUAUACGGACUGACGCCUGCCCGGUGCUGGAACGUUAAGGGGACCGGUUAGUCACAUUUCGGUGUGGCGAAGCUGAGAACUUAAGCGCCAGUAAACGGCGGUGGUAACUAUAACCAUCCUAAGGUAGCGAAAUUCCUUGUCGGGUAAGUUCCGACCUGCACGAAUGGCGUAACGACUUCUCGACUGUCUCAACCAUAGGCCCGGUGAAAUUGCAUUACGAGUAAAGAUGCUCGUUUCGCGCAGCAGGACGGAAAGACCCCGGGACCUUUACUACAGUUUGAUAUUGGUGUUCGGUUCGGCUUGUGUAGGAUAGGUGGGAGACUGUGAAGCAUGCACGCCAGUGUGUGUGGAGUCGUCGUUGAAAUACCACUCUGGUCGUGCUGGAUGUCUAACCUGGGUCCGUGAUCCGGAUCAGGGACAGUGUCUGAUGGGUAGUUUAACUGGGGCGGUUGCCUCCUAAAGAGUAACGGAGGCGCCCAAAGGUUCCCUCAGCCUGGUUGGUAAUCAGGUGUUGAGUGUAAGUGCACAAGGGAGCUUGACUGUGAGACCGACGGGUCGAGCAGGGACGAAAGUCGGGACUAGUGAUCCGGCGGUGGCUUGUGGAAGCGCCGUCGCUCAACGGAUAAAAGGUACCCCGGGGAUAACAGG
Molecule: ribosomal RNA, 1103 nt
Filed under: Streptomyces albidoflavus
Lineage: Bacteria; Bacillati; Actinomycetota; Actinomycetes; Kitasatosporales; Streptomycetaceae
Description: bacterial LSU rRNA
Rfam family: Bacterial large subunit ribosomal RNA
Source: RNAcentral